Molecule: ribosomal RNA, 300 nt
Filed under: uncultured bacterium
Lineage: Bacteria
Description: bacterial SSU rRNA
Rfam family: Bacterial small subunit ribosomal RNA
Source: RNAcentral
GUAAACGCCUUGCCGCGAGCCGGGAUAUAUCGAGGGGAGCGAGCGUUGUUCGGAGUGAUUGGUGUUAAAGGGUGGGAAGGGGGUGUGGUAGGCAAGUGGUGAAAUCCAAUGGCUUAACCCUGGGACUGCUCUUGAGACGGGCUGUCUGGAGUGCGGAAGAGGUGAGUGGAACUCCUGGUGUAGAGGUGAAAUUCGCAGAUAUUGGGAAGAACACCGGUGGCGAAGGCAAGCAACUGGGCCGACAUUGACACUGAGGCACGAAAGCGUGGGUAGCAAACAGGAUUAGAUACCCUGGUAGUC